GGAAGGCUGCUGCUGGCAGGCAGGGAUGCUGCAGCCCACGGCCGUGCAGGAGAGGAGGGAGGCUGAGCAGGCGGCUGGGGGGGGCACAGCCAGCGGGGCGCGGGGGGUUGAGCACGUGGAGCCCUGCUGCAAUUGCUGGAAGAAGUGGAUGAAUGCCCCACGCUGCGCCGUGCUGAAGGGAAAACGACAAGACAGAGAGCCACUACGAGUCUUGCUGGGACCCGUGCUGACCCUCACCACGCAAGAUGACAACAAGAGAUGGACCACAGGAUAGGUA
This 277-nucleotide long non-coding RNA is filed under the name Gallus gallus (chicken). The record is from RNAcentral. Lineage: Eukaryota; Metazoa; Chordata; Aves; Galliformes; Phasianidae.